This is a small nuclear RNA of Ochotona princeps (American pika), 107 nucleotides long. The record is from Ensembl. NCBI's taxonomy places the organism in Eukaryota, Metazoa, Chordata, Mammalia, Lagomorpha, Ochotonidae.
GUGCUCACUUUGGCAGCACAUAUACUAAAAUUGGAAUGAUACAGAGAAAAUUAGCAUGGCCCCUGCACAAGGAUGACACGUAAAUUCGUGAAGCAUUCCAUAUUUUU